AUUGAUCACAAACAUAAUACUGCAGCCUGCAGAGAUGCAAUCGGAACAUCAUUUGUGCAUUAACUGAAAAAGAACCACGCUUGUUGUUGCACAACUCUAUCAAGCCCACAUUCUUUAUUGCACUGGAACACCAAGUUUUUGGCUUGGUUGAACGACACUUGCAUAAGAAUCAACAUCAUCAGCAAAAAUAACAUCUUCAAAACACAGUUAAUGAUAUAAAACCUUGAAUAAAACAGGACUUAGGUUUUCAUAGUUACUAAUAAAAUUACCGCAUAUUAAGCAAAAUUAAUCACUAGAUAAUUAAUCACUAAAUGAAACCAAUCUUUUUCAACUAACAUAUUAACUGAAUUGCUAGAAAUAGAAUAAGUUACACUUUUUAUAUUAUCCCAAGUUGAUCUUUUUUUUAAUAACACUAACAGUAAAACCUGUUAUAAUUUCUACAAACAAAUUGUGGUGUAACACAUUUUACUGAAAACCUCAUCAUAAAUUUCACCUGUCUGUUGAAACACAUUCUUGGGCUUCAAAAACAUUUUAACAGUCUUUCCACUGUAUUGUUAAGGUACAAAGCAGGGAUAUUAUAUUACAUUAAUUCCUUGUGUUUUGGCUCUCGUGUUACUUUUUGUAAAUUUCCCCACUGGAUUAAUGAAUUAAUACAUU
Non-coding RNA from Ciona intestinalis (vase tunicate), 657 nucleotides. The record is from RefSeq and is a predicted model, not a curated record. NCBI's taxonomy places the organism in Eukaryota, Metazoa, Chordata, Ascidiacea, Phlebobranchia, Cionidae.